AUUGAACGCUGGCGGCAGGCCUAACACAUGCAAGUCGAACGGUAGCACAGAGUGCUUGCUCUCGGGUGACGAGUGGCGGACGGGUGAGUAACGUCUGGGAAACUGCCCGAUGGAGGGGGAUAACUACUGGAAACGGUAGCUAAUACCGCAUAACGUCGCAAGACCAAAGUGGGGGACCUUCGGGCCUCACACCAUCGGAUGUGCCCAGAUGGGAUUAGCUAGUAGGUGGGGUAAUGGCUCACCUAGGCGACGAUCCCUAGCUGGUCUGAGAGGAUGACCAGCCACACUGGAACUGAGACACGGUCCAGACUCCUACGGGAGGCAGCAGUGGGGAAUAUUGCACAAUGGGCGCAAGCCUGAUGCAGCCAUGCCGCGUGUAUGAAGAAGGCCUUCGGGUUGUAAAGUACUUUCAGCCGGGAGGAAGGCGGUGAAGUUAAUAACUUCACCGAUUGACGUUACCCGCAAAAGAAGCACCGGCUAACUCCGUGCCAGCCGCCGCGGUAA
RNAcentral lists this ribosomal RNA (504 nucleotides) under uncultured bacterium. RNAcentral's name for it is "partial 16S ribosomal RNA". It matches the Rfam family "Bacterial small subunit ribosomal RNA", at positions 30 to 523 of the family's 1533-position model. The record is from RNAcentral.